UACGAGGGGGGCGAGCGUUGUUCGGAAUUAUUGGGCGUAAAGGGUGCGUAGGCGGUUUGGUAAGUCUCUUGUGAAAUCUAUGGGCUCAACUCAUAGUCUGCAAGGGAAACUGCCGGGCUUGAGUGUGGGAGAGGUGAGUGGAAUUUCCGGUGUAGCGGUGAAAUGCGUAGAUAUCGGAAGGAAGACCAGUGGCGAAGGCGGGUCUCUGGACAGUUCCUGACGCUGAGGCACGAAGGUCAGGGGAGCAAACGGG
Molecule: ribosomal RNA, 253 nt
Filed under: uncultured bacterium
Lineage: Bacteria
Description: partial 16S ribosomal RNA
Rfam family: Bacterial small subunit ribosomal RNA
Source: RNAcentral